This 493-nucleotide ribosomal RNA is filed under the name uncultured bacterium. RNAcentral's name for it is "partial 16S ribosomal RNA". It matches the Rfam family "Bacterial small subunit ribosomal RNA", at positions 28 to 507 of the family's 1533-position model. The record is from RNAcentral.
GACGAACGCUGGCGGCGUGCUUAACACAUGCAAGUCGAACGGUGAAGGGACCGGUUUUUGCUGGUUCUGGAUGAGUGGCGAACGGGUGAGUAACACGUGAGUAACCUGCCCCCUUCUUCUGGAUAACCGCAUGAAAGUGUGGCUAAUACGGGAUAUUCUGCGCCUGCUGCAUGGUGGGUGUGGGAAAGAUAUUGUUUCGGUGGGGGAUGGGCUCGCGGCCUAUCAGCUUGUUGGUGGGGUGAUGGCCUACCAAGGCGGUGACGGGUAGCCGGCCUGAGAGGGGGGACGGUCACACUGGGACUGAGACACGGCCCAGACUCCUACGGGAGGCAGCGGGGGGGAAUAUUGCACAAUGGGCGAAAGCCUGAUGCAGCGACGCCGCGUGAGGGAUGGAGGCCUUCGGGUUGUAAACCUCUUUCGCCAGUGAAGCAGGCCUGUCCCUUUUGUGGUUGGGUUGACGGUAGCUGGAUAAGAAGCGCCGGCUAACUACGUG